GGGCGUGUAGUUCAGUGGUAGAACGCUGUCCUGAUAAGACAGAGGUCCCAGGUUCGAUCCCUGGCACGCCCA
This 72-nucleotide transfer RNA is filed under the name bacterium. RNAcentral describes it as "tRNA-Ile". It matches the Rfam family "tRNA". From Rfam's summary of the family: Transfer RNA (tRNA) molecules are approximately 80 nucleotides in length. RNAcentral also lists the same sequence under 1 other name. The record is from RNAcentral.